Molecule: unclassified non-coding RNA, 395 nt
Filed under: soil metagenome
Description: partial contains 5.8S ribosomal RNA, internal transcribed spacer 2, and large subunit ribosomal RNA
Rfam family: 5.8S ribosomal RNA (bases 1-122)
Source: RNAcentral
GAUGAAGAACGUAGCGAAAUGCGAUACUUGGUGUGAAUUGCAGAAUCCCGUGAACCAUCGAGUCUUUGAACGCAAGUUGCGCCCGAAGCCAUCAGGUUGAGGGCACGUCUGCCUGGGCGUCACAUAUCGUUGCCCAAUGCCUAUUGCAGUGCAAUAGGAAUUUCUAGGGCGAAUGAUGGCUUCCCGUGAGCGUUGUUGCCUCGCGGUUGGUUGAAAAUCGAGUCCUUGGUAGGGUGUGCCAUGGUAGAUGGUGGUCGAGUUAGAACGAUACCGAUCAUGUGCAUGCUCCCCAAAAUAUGGCCUCUAUGACCCACACGCGUCUUUUGACGCGCAUGACGAGACCUCAGGUCAGGCGGGGCUACCCGCUGAAUUUAAGCAUAUCAAUAAGCGGAGGA